RNAcentral lists this ribosomal RNA (197 nucleotides) under uncultured bacterium. RNAcentral describes it as "partial 16S ribosomal RNA". It matches the Rfam family "Bacterial small subunit ribosomal RNA", at positions 326 to 539 of the family's 1533-position model. The record is from RNAcentral.
ACGCUCGACACCUACGGGGCAGCAGUCGGGAAUAUUGCGCAAUGGAGGAAACUCUGACGCAGUGACGCCGCGUAUGGGAAGAAGGUUUUCGGAUUGUAAACCAUUUUAGACAAGGAAGAAACAAGACAGUACUUGUAGAAUAAGCUCCGGCUAACUACGUGCCAGCAGCCGUGGUAAUCUGAGCGGGCUGGCAAGGC